Long non-coding RNA from Anser brachyrhynchus (Pink-footed goose), 1610 nucleotides. Lineage: Eukaryota; Metazoa; Chordata; Aves; Anseriformes; Anatidae. The record is from Ensembl.
UCUAAGGCAGAUGGCACUGUUGGUUACAACAGCUGCAACUGAAAAUCCAGGAGAAACAGGGGUAGCUGACAAAUAUUUAAAGAUUGCUACCAGCUGUUGAGCCCAAACGAUAUCUCCUUCUCUACCAAGGAGAGAAAGCUUUGCGCAGGGACUCCUUUACCUUCUCUUCAUCAUUUCAUGGCAAAGAUGCUAUUUAGACACUGCUAGAAGGACCAAACUCCUGAAUGUCAGCAGUGUGUUAUCCUGCAGCAAGAUCCUUAAGUCCUGAUGGAUUUGCAGCCUCCUCUCAAUUUCUUUUCUAAAGCAGCUAAAGGUGAUGACUAAAUAUGUCGUUGAAUUCGUCCAUGUGAAUCCUAAUAAGUACAUCAGAGCACAAAGGGAUAUCCGAGGACAGUGCUGGUCACUGGCAAGAGUGAGGCAGGUACUGCAGUGUGCCAAGAUGCAUCAUAUCCCCGAGGACUGCAGUAAUAGUAAUGGAGAAGGAAACAGACGAAAAUAUAAUGGUGCAGCUCUCCUCCCUGCUAGCUGCUUGCGUUACUUUGCUCUGCAGGUGCAGGAGAAGCCUAGAAGGGACCUGACAGGAAUUGUGGUUUCCUUGGGAAAGACUGAGGAGCCUCUCUGGUUGUCCCUCAGUCCUGUUACAGAGCAGAAUUGCAGCAAUGGCACAGUAUAGUCCUUCUGUCGAUUUGUUGUCUCCUACCAAAUGUGGCUAUUUGAGACACCUAAACUCGUCGAGAAUGGAGAUGUACAUACUGGCCUGCCUGGUUAAUGCUGACAUACUAGCAAAGGGAAGGAAUACUGUGGAAGGAUGGAGGUCUUAGAGAAGCUAUGCUCAAAGAAGAUCAGGAGUGUGAAGGCAUGGAACAGGAUAAAUACAGCAAGAAGGCAGUUUGCUGCGGAGUUCAAGACUUUAUUUUUUCUGCUACUUUGUUGUUCUGGCCCGUCCCUGUGCUUUGGGGCAUCUCACCUUCUGCCAUCAGCUAAGAAUUGAUCUGCAGUGUUGAGCCAGAGAACCACAAAACCUUAGUUACCAGCUGUGGUUUGAGGAUGGUAAUUUGGACUUCCACAUUUAGUGCUGAGACACAUUGGCUGGGAAAGUAGAGGAGCUGCUGAGCCUGUUAAGAGACCCACAGGGGAGAAAGUGCUCAAUGAGAUAGUUUGAGAGCUGUAAGUUGUUUUGGCAACCCCUAUUAGACAUGGCCCCUUUAUUACUUCAGUAGCUAUAGAGGAGUGCAAUUUGCUUUUAAUUACUGUAUUAGCAAAUGUAUCAGUAGGGAAACUGAAAAAAAAAAAAAAAGUUGCUGAAUUUCUUUCAGAACUGUUCUUUGCGACUCUAGGAAGGAAAAAAUAUUUGGACAGAAAGAAAUUAUGCUCUAAUGAGCCCCAAACAGACACUGAUUCAGAGACUGAGAGGAAAAUAGCUAUUCUAGAUAGCAGAGUGCUGGCCUCUAGCAUACUCCUGCAAAGUGGAAAUAAUAGCCUCUUUCCAUUGUAAUUUUAAAAUUGUACCUCAGUGCUGCUUCUCUGAUGUUUUGUGAUAGAUGCCAAGACUGGAGACUGCUCUGCUCCAAGUGUGAGUCAGAUAAUAAAGCAAUUUCUGAGCUGUAGCA